UAACGCGUGAGGAACCUGCCUCAAAGAGGGGGACAACAGUUGGAAACGACUGCUAAUACCGCAUAAGCCCACAGCUCGGCAUCGAGCAGAGGGAAAAGGAGUGAUCCGCUUUGAGAUGGCCUCGCGUCCGAUUAGCUAGUUGGUGAGGUAAUGGCCCACCAAGGCGACGAUCGGUAGCCGGACUGAGAGGUUGAACGGCCACAUUGGGACUGAGACACGGUCCAG
Molecule: ribosomal RNA, 225 nt
Filed under: uncultured bacterium
Lineage: Bacteria
Description: partial 16S ribosomal RNA
Rfam family: Bacterial small subunit ribosomal RNA
Source: RNAcentral